RNAcentral lists this ribosomal RNA (253 nucleotides) under uncultured bacterium. RNAcentral describes it as "partial 16S ribosomal RNA". It matches the Rfam family "Bacterial small subunit ribosomal RNA", at positions 524 to 776 of the family's 1533-position model. The record is from RNAcentral.
UACGUAGGGGGCAAGCGUUAUCCGGAUUUACUGGGUGUAAAGGGGGCGCAGACGGCAAUGCAAGCCAGGAGUGAAAGCCCGGGGCCCAACCCCGGGACUGCUCUUGGAACUGCAUGGCUGGAGUACAGGAGGGGUAGGCGGAAUUCCUAGUGUAGCGGUGAAAUGCGUAGAUAUUAGGAGGAACACCAGUGGCGAAGGCGGCCUACUGGACGGUGACUGACGCUGAGGCUCGAAAGCGUGGGGAGCAAACAGG